UACGUAGGGUGCGAGCGUUGCCCGGAUUUAUUGGGCGUAAAGGGCGCGUAGGCGGCCACGCACGUCCGUUGUGAAAUCGCCCGGCUCAACUGGGCGGGGUCGGCGGAUACGGCGUGGCUGGAGCAAGCUAGGGGGCAAUGGAAUUCCCGGUGUAGCGGUGAAAUGCGUAGAUAUCGGAAGGAACACCUGUGGCGAAAGCGGCUCACUGGACCAUAACUGACGCUGAGGCGCGAAAGCUAGGGGAGCAAACAGG
Molecule: ribosomal RNA, 253 nt
Filed under: uncultured bacterium
Lineage: Bacteria
Description: partial 16S ribosomal RNA
Rfam family: Bacterial small subunit ribosomal RNA
Source: RNAcentral